AAAGAAUUAGUUAAAUUUAACAUUAAAUUGUCAAUUUAAAAAUAUUAUUAAUUUAAAUAAUAUUCUUUU
RNAcentral lists this transfer RNA (69 nucleotides) under Ectomomyrmex javanus. RNAcentral describes it as "tRNA-Asp". The record is from RNAcentral. Lineage: Eukaryota; Metazoa; Arthropoda; Insecta; Hymenoptera; Formicidae.